Molecule: ribosomal RNA, 761 nt
Filed under: Prevotella melaninogenica
Lineage: Bacteria; Pseudomonadati; Bacteroidota; Bacteroidia; Bacteroidales; Prevotellaceae
Description: bacterial SSU rRNA
Rfam family: Bacterial small subunit ribosomal RNA
Source: RNAcentral
GAUGAACGCUAGCUACAGGCUUAACACAUGCAAGUCGAGGGGAAACGGCAUUAAGUGCUUGCACUUUUUGGACGUCGACCGGCGCACGGGUGAGUAACGCGUAUCCAACCUUCCCAUGACUAUGGGAUAACCUGCCGAAAGGCAGACUAAUACCUUAUGGUCUUCACUGACGGCAUCAGAUGUGAAGUAAAGAUUUAUCGGUUAUGGAUGGGGAUGCGUCUGAUUAGCUUGUUGGCGGGGUAACGGCCCACCAAGGCAACGAUCAGUAGGGGUUCUGAGAGGAAGGUCCCCCACAUUGGAACUGAGACACGGUCCAAACUCCUACGGGAGGCAGCAGUGAGGAAUAUUGGUCAAUGGGCGAGAGCCUGAACCAGCCAAGUAGCGUGCAGGAAGACGGCCCUAUGGGUUGUAAACUGCUUUUGUAUGGGGAUAAAGUCAAUCACGUGUGAUUGUUUGCAGGUACCAUACGAAUAAGGACCGGCUAAUUCCGUGCCAGCAGCCGCGGUAAUACGGAAGGUCCGGGCGUUAUCCGGAUUUAUUGGGUUUAAAGGGAGCGUAGGCUGGAGAUUAAGUGUGUUGUGAAAUGUAGACGCUCAACGUCUGACUUGCAGCGCAUACUGGUUUCCUUGAGUACGCACAACGUUGGCGGAAUUCGUCGUGUAGCGGUGAAAUGCUUAGAUAUGACGAAGAACUCCGAUUGCGAAGGCAGCUGACGGGAGCGCAACUGACGCUGAAGCUCGAAGGUGCGGGUAUCGAACAGG